This 2557-nucleotide long non-coding RNA is filed under the name Paramuricea clavata. Lineage: Eukaryota; Metazoa; Cnidaria; Anthozoa; Malacalcyonacea; Plexauridae. The record is from RNAcentral.
UUAAAAUAAACAGUUUAAGUUCAUAAAGCUAUCAUCAAAGUGAUUUUAUCAAAUAAAAAAUAAAAAAACAAAAUUUCUUACAUGUGUGGAAUUAAAUUGGCUAAAAACUGCCUCGAAAACUGCAGUUAAAAAGCAGUUUUGAAUCAGGAAAACGGACUAAAAUAAGCUAAAUAAUGGUGUAAAAACUGAAAAGCACCAUAAAAACAAAAAAGCGAAACAACCAAAGCAAAAAUAAAUUCCCAAUUUAUAAAAAUCACAGAUUUAUUCAAAAAAACAAAAAAGUUUGAAAUUAGUAGCUAGUGUUGAAUUCGCAACGAAAAAUACAGAUUUACUCACACAUACAGUGGGAAAAUGCAGUAGACAGAUCGAUUAGAUGAAGAAAAUCAGACAUACAUGAAAUAAAUGAAGUUUAUUUCCUUUUUUGCUCUUCUAAAAUGAAUAAAAACGCAACCCGAGAGUCGUGGACCCAUCACUUCCCGCCAUGAAAAUAUAAAAAAUCUUUGGCCGCGCACGUAAAGGGAAUUGAGACUCCUUCAGCCUUCCAUGUAUAUAGUUCACUGACUAGCGUAUGCCAGCGUAUGAAAAAUAUCACUCAUACGCCGGUAUACGCUGCCAUACGCUAGGGGUACGUUAGGCAAAGGUUGUAUACGUUUCAAGCACGGUCGCGUACGGUGGCGUACGCUGGCAUACGGCGAGGCAGAAUUUUUUUUUAAGCAUGCAUGCUCAAAAAUUGUGUGCGUACCGGACGUAUGCUUUAUACGAUAAGCAUACUCUAGGCACACGCUGAAUACGCUAUAGAGGUACGCCAGAUGUAUACGGUACUCAUACGCUGGCAUUUCAAAGGAUUUUUGUGCGUAUGAAAAUUAUUUCAUUAAUUUUCAUACACUUCUCAUACGUUUCUCUCAUACGCAAUAGUGUGACAGGGCCUUAAACAUUUUUUGAGGAGGGCCAUUCGGGUCUUGAUGACUUUAAAGCACAGAUUAUCGAUAUCACGAAUAUUAAUAAACCUACAGAGAGGGAAAGUUUUUGGAUUGAAAAAUUGAAUACAUAUGUACCACUGGGAUUAAAUUUGAGGGAGGAAUAUUGAUGCAAGUCUAUACAUAUAUUAUUAGUGUAUGUUAAUUAGGAUUGGGCCGAAAGUAUUUAAGGACAUGGAUUUGAACUUAUCUCGUUUCUGAGGAAGGGGCUGUGCCCCGAAACGUAUUUAUGUAUUUAUUUGAAAUUUAAUAAAAUUUAUUUCUAACUUGAAGUUUUAUAUAAAUGAAGUUUUUUGGGGUCGAGUCAGUCUACUGUGGACUGCAUGAAGAUGAACUUAAAGCCCUUAUCAAUUUGCGGGAAAAUGCAAUGUCCUUCACGGAGUCCGCGUACGUCACUUUCAAAAGUGUGCAAGUUGAAUUUUUCGACGAUGUUGGAUAGAUCAUUUUCACCCCCUAAGGUGCCUUUUGAUCUUAGCUUUUUCCGUCAGUGAAUUCAAUAUGAAUUCAAUAGUAAAAGAAAUUGUACCAUAAGAUUAUCUUUAUAGCGAAGAGAAACGUUUAUGGAGAGAUUCUACCAAAACGGCAAUCGAUUAUUGGUUCUUUUUCCAGAUGGCACUGGCUGCUGCUAGUAUCCUUUUCAAUUAAUGAAGUUCAGUAUUUUAGAGUAGAGUUCGGCAAUGCUCUAGUUCGGCAGCGGAACAAGGUUAAAAAAUUGCAGUCAGGAAUAGAGACAUGCAGGGAGAGCUUUUGUAUUACAUAUAGCUAUAUUCAGUUAAUUGUUUGAUUUAAUUCUAGCAUGCCGUAAAUGAUCUGAUGAAACGCCUCUAGUUUAUAUUAAACUCGUCUAGUCUAAUGACGCCCCAGUGAAAUCAGCAUUUUGUCAUAAAGAACUGGUAUCUAAUAAAUACCCCCUCAAAGUGGCAUUUAUUAAAUUAACCGUUUAAUAUACGCUUAUUAGUUUGAAAGAUUAUUAUAAUAAACGUUCAUUAUUAAAUUAAACGUGUAUUAGAUUAAGCGCCUUCCGAAAAACGACAGGGAUUAGCGACAAUGCACGAAAACGAGCGCGAAAUGCAACUUGUAGUGUCGCCGAUAUGUUUCGCGGGGCCUGGGGCAAAAUUUCCGCCGGGAGCUCUAUGACAUCAUGAUUUCGAAACAGCAGAAACAGUGGUAUAUUUGGGGGCCACCCUCUACAGACCUGAAGUCGAAAGGGCCCCACAAACUGAGGCAGGCCCUCAACUUGUGAGGGGCUUAAUUUUUUUAAACCCUCUAAAAUUGGGGGCCCCUUUUCAAGUUAGGAGCUCGGGAAAAGUUGCCCUUCCCCGUAUAAGAAGAGUAAAACUGUCGUGGAAAGAACAAACACCUCUCCCUAAAAAAUGCCUCUCAGAUAAUAACCCCCCUCUCCCCUCUAUAACAGUAAGAACAUUCACGGCGUUUAUUAGAGCAUUCACCAUAGAACAUUGAUUUACAACGUUAGCAUUUUGUUGUCAUUCACUUAACAAUUGUUAGUUAUCCAAGUGGUAAUCCGGCAGUUAUUAUAUCGUCUACGGAGAAAGGAAAAUAUUCCUAUAUUCUUCAGGAGG